Molecule: ribosomal RNA, 429 nt
Filed under: Bacteroidota bacterium
Lineage: Bacteria; Pseudomonadati; Bacteroidota
Description: Bacteroidetes bacterium partial 16S ribosomal RNA
Rfam family: Bacterial small subunit ribosomal RNA
Source: RNAcentral
UAGGGAAUCUUCGGCAAUGGGGGGAACCCUGACAGAGCAACGCCGCGUGAGUGAAGAAGGUUUUCGGAUCGUAUAGCUCUGUUGUUAAGGAAGAACGAGUGUGAGAAUGGAAAGUUCAUGCUGUGACGGUACUUAACCAGAAAGGGACGGCUAACUACGUGCCAGCAGCCGCGGUAAUACGUAGGUCCCGAGCGUUGUCCGGAUUUAUUGGGCGUAAAGCGAGCGCAGGCGGUUAGAAAAGUCUGAAGUGAAAGGCAGUGGCUCAACCAUUGUAGGCUUUGGAAACUGUUUAACUUGAGUGCAGAAGGGGAGAGUGGAAUUCCAUGUGUAGCGGUGAAAUGCGUAGAUAUAUGGAGGAACACCGGUGGCGAAAGCGGCUCUCUGGUCUGUAACUGACGCUGAGGCUCGAAAGCGUGGGGAGCGAACAGG